GAUGAACGCUGGCUACAGGCUUAACACAUGCAAGUCGAGGGGAAACGACGGGGAAGCUUGCUUCCCCGGGCGUCGACCGGCGCACGGGUGAGUAACGCGUAUCCAACCUGCCUCUGACUGAGGGAUAACCCGUCGAAAGUCGGCCUAAUACCUCAUGGUAUCGUCUGCGGGCAUCCAACGACGAUUAAAGAUUUCAUCGGUCAGGGAUGGGGAUGCGUCUGAUUAGCUUGUUGGCGGGGUAACGGCCCACCAAGGCUACGAUCAGUAGGGGUUCUGAGAGGAAGGUCCCCCACAUUGGAACUGAGACACGGUCCAAACUCCUACGGGAGGCAGCAGUGGGGAAUAUUGGUCAAUGGGCGAGAGCCUGAACCAGCCAAGUAGCGUGCAGGAAGACGGCCCUAUGGGUUGUAAACUGCUUUUAUGCGGGGAUAAAGUGAGGGACGUGUCCCUCAUUGCAGGUACCACAUGAAUAAGGACCGGCUAAUUCCGUG
RNAcentral lists this ribosomal RNA (491 nucleotides) under uncultured bacterium. Its description in RNAcentral is "partial 16S ribosomal RNA". It matches the Rfam family "Bacterial small subunit ribosomal RNA", at positions 28 to 507 of the family's 1533-position model. The record is from RNAcentral.